GUGAGGAAUAUUGGUCAAUGGACGAGAGUCUGAACCAGCCAAGUCGCGUGAAGGAAGACGGUUCUAUGAAUUGUAAACUUCUUUUGUGCAGGAAUAAAGUGGGUUACGUGUAACCUUUUGUAUGUACUGUACGAAUAAGGAUCGGCUAACUCCGUGCCAGCAGCCGCGGUAAUACGGAGGAUCCGAGCGUUAUCCGGAUUUAUUGGGUUUAAAGGGUGCGUAGGUGGAUUGAUAAGUCAGCGGUGAAAGGUUGCAGCUUAACUGUAAAAUUGCCGUUGAAACUGUCGGUCUUGAGUGCAAAUGAGGUAGGCGGAAUGUGUUGUGUAGCGGUGAAAUGCUUAGAUAUAACACAGAACUCCGAUUGCGAAGGCAGCUUACUGGGAUGCAACUGACACUGAUGCACGAAAGCGUGGGUAUCAAACAGGAUUAGAAACCCUAGUAGUCC
This 445-nucleotide ribosomal RNA is filed under the name uncultured bacterium. RNAcentral's name for it is "partial 16S ribosomal RNA". It matches the Rfam family "Bacterial small subunit ribosomal RNA", at positions 354 to 796 of the family's 1533-position model. The record is from RNAcentral.